GGAUUAGAUACCCUGGUAGUCCAUGCUGUAAACGAUGAGAACUAGAUGUCGGAGAUUUAUCUUCGGUAUCGCAGCUAACGCAUUAAGUUCUCCGCCUGGGGAGUACGACCGCAAGGUUAAAACUCAAAGGAAUUGACGGGGGCCCGCACAAGCGGUGGAACAUGUGGUUUAAUUCGAGGAUACGCGAAAAACCUUACCUACCCUUGACAUCCCUGGAAUUAUCUAGCAGUAGAUAAGUGCUUUCGAGAACCAGGAGACAGGUGUUGCAUGGCUGUCGUCAGCUCGUGUCG
This 290-nucleotide ribosomal RNA is filed under the name uncultured bacterium. RNAcentral's name for it is "partial 16S ribosomal RNA". It matches the Rfam family "Bacterial small subunit ribosomal RNA", at positions 775 to 1067 of the family's 1533-position model. The record is from RNAcentral.